Oryza glaberrima (African rice) is the source of this 196-nucleotide non-coding RNA. The record is from Rfam. NCBI's taxonomy places the organism in Eukaryota, Viridiplantae, Streptophyta, Magnoliopsida, Poales, Poaceae.
AAAAAGACAAACCUGGUUUCCGUACCUGACCGUCCGUCUUAUUUAAAAAAAUUAUGAAAAAAUUAAAAAGACAAGUCACACAUAAAAUAUUAAUCAUGUUUUAUCAUCUAACAAUAAUGAAAAUACGAAUUAUAAAAAAAUUUUAUAUAAGACGGACAAUCAAAAUUGGAUACGGAAACCCAGGGUUUAUUUUUUU